AUUUAAAUAGUUUAAUUUAAAACGUUAAUUUGUGGAGUUAAAAAUAAAUAUUAAUAUUUUUUAAAUA
RNAcentral lists this transfer RNA (67 nucleotides) under Adicella ragma. RNAcentral describes it as "tRNA-His". Lineage: Eukaryota; Metazoa; Arthropoda; Insecta; Trichoptera; Leptoceridae. The record is from RNAcentral.